CCGUUGCCGGCGACCGGCGCACGGGUGGAGUAACACGUAUGCAACCUGCCCGUGGCAGGGGGAUAAGCGGGGGAAACCCCGUCUAAUACCGCGUAACGCGGCCUUGGGGCAUCCCAAGGCCGCCAAAGGGAGCAAUCCCGGCCACGGAUGGGCAUGCGGCGCAUUAGCUAGUCGGCGGGGUAACGGCCCACCGAGGCGACGAUGCGUAGGGGUUCUGAGAGGAAGGUCCCCCACACUGGUACUGAGACACGGACCAGACUCCUACGGGAGGCAGCAG
RNAcentral lists this ribosomal RNA (277 nucleotides) under uncultured bacterium. RNAcentral's name for it is "partial 16S ribosomal RNA". It matches the Rfam family "Bacterial small subunit ribosomal RNA", at positions 82 to 354 of the family's 1533-position model. The record is from RNAcentral.